This 628-nucleotide ribosomal RNA is filed under the name uncultured Russulaceae. Its description in RNAcentral is "LSU rRNA". It matches the Rfam family "Eukaryotic large subunit ribosomal RNA", at positions 49 to 649 of the family's 3401-position model. Lineage: Eukaryota; Fungi; Basidiomycota; Agaricomycetes; Russulales; Russulaceae. The record is from RNAcentral.
AGCGGAGGAAAAGAAACUAACAAGGAUUCCCCUAGUAACUGCGAGUGAAGCGGGAAAAGCUCAAAUUUGGAAUCUGGUGGUCUUUGNCCAUCCGAGUUGUAAUUUAGAGAAGCGUCUUCCGCGCUGGACCGUGCACAAGUCUCCUGGAAUGGAGCGUCAUAGAGGGUGAGAAUCCCGUCUUUGGCAUGGAAUCNCAGGGCUUCUGUGAUGCGCUCUCGACGAGUCGAGUUGUUUGGGAAUGCAGCUCAAAAUGGGUGGUGAACUCCAUCUAAAGCUAAAUAUUGGCGAGAGACCGAUAGCGAACAAGUACCGUGAGGGAAAGAUGAAAGGCACUUUGGAAAGAGAGUGAAACAGUACGUGAAAUUGUUGAGAGGGAAACGCUUGAAGUCAGUCGCGUCGACCGAGACUCAGCCUUGCCUCGGCUUGGUGUACUUCUCGGCUUGACGGGUCAGCAUCGAUUUCAAUCCUCGGAUAAUGGCAAGGGAAAGGUAGCACCUUUUUAGGUGUGUUAUAGUCCUCUGUCGCAUGCGAGGGUCGGGAUCGAGGAACUCAGCACGCACCUCAGGGUGUCGGGGCCUUGGCCCACGUUUACGUGCUUAGGAUGCUGGCGUAAUGGCUUUAAACGACC